CAUUGGUAUGUUUCCAUUCUUUAUUCAUAAUAAACUGUAAUCCACUUAUAGUGAAGAUGCUCACGAGGCUUAUCAUUGACUGUAAGAGGAAAAUCAGAGCUACAAAUAGAGUUUCAGGUAAGAGGAAUAUGAGAAAAAAUAUGGAAACUGUUGAUCCUAAUCCUAAGGAUAAUGUUUAAAGCAUGCAAGAGCGAUGAAGGGAGAACAGAGCGAUGGAACAGAAAUUGAAAGAGGUGUGAUGAGAGAGGAGCUUCGAACUCGAAAGUGCUGGGGGUGGAGAACCGAAACCGGAGAGGCUGCGAGAUAGAGAGAGAAGAUGAGUGCGCCGAGGUAGAGAGUC
Long non-coding RNA from Ipomoea triloba (trilobed morning glory), 340 nucleotides. RefSeq lists it as uncharacterized. The record is from RefSeq and is a predicted model, not a curated record. Lineage: Eukaryota; Viridiplantae; Streptophyta; Magnoliopsida; Solanales; Convolvulaceae. The transcript has 3 exons.